This 1427-nucleotide long non-coding RNA is filed under the name Parus major (Great Tit). RNAcentral's name for it is "lncRNA (ENSPMJG00000002368.1)". The record is from RNAcentral. Lineage: Eukaryota; Metazoa; Chordata; Aves; Passeriformes; Paridae.
CUGCAGAGGUGUAUGUAGUCUCUGGAGAAAGGUAGGGAGAUUUCUUUUUUUCCUUUUCAAGAGCUUAAUCUGUGUAAGAGGUCAAGCUGCAGGGAUAAAUGAGGUCUGUGGCUCCUCCAGCUUGUGGAUUGCCCAGAAGGCCCCUCGGAACAGCUUCUGGGUUGUCUGAAUGUUGGCAAUUCUGCGCCACAUCCCCCAGCCCCAAAUAUAUUUUGUGGUGUUUGUUAUUUUCUGAAUUUCGGUGCUUCUGCUGCUGGUCUUGGCCACUUUCCAAAAAGGCAGCGUGGAAACUAUCGCAUGUGACAGGGAUUGCCACCUGCCCGGGUCUUGUCAGACCUCCUGCGGAUCGCUGCUGGAAUAAUCAGGGAUUGUAGAACAGUUGGAUUGUUGGAAUGGCAGUGAACAGAUGUCUCAGCAAAUAACUGAGCAUCUGGAAGACUGUGAAUUGGCAGCAUCUGGAAGACACUGCUGAGUGAAUGGAGAGGUGGAAUCUGUGAUUUUUUAUUUUCCCCCCUUUCUUCUGGCUUGAAUUAUUAAUAAGUAUAAUUUUUUGUGUCACUUAUGUAAUUUUCUAACCUUCCAUCUGAAGCCAUCCUAUUAAGUAAGAUUUCCAGGCAAGGUGUGUGCUCAAGAAUAGUAAAUCUGACACUGCAGACUUACUGGCACAGAGGCUUCAAUUGAACAUGCGUGCACAAUCUGUCCAAUUUGGCCAGAAAACAUAGGAUUUACUGAGCUGGGUGUUAUGCAGCCGUAGUGCAUAUGGGCUGUGAAUGUGUCUAGGAUUACCAGUCACACAGCAGUCAGCCAGAGCUGCUGUGAAUGCACAAUGAGGUUUCAGUUGCUGGACUUAUAAGACACACAGAAAUCCCUGGAGAGAAUCCUGAAAAAUCUACCCUGAUAAAAUUCUGAUCUGAUAGAAUGAAAGCAUUGCCAAGAAAACCUAGCUUUCAGCAGUUUUUAAUGAAAAACCAAAAGAAAAGAGAUCAUCAUGCCUUGCACUGUUUCUGAGAGACUUCUGAACUGGGGUGUUGCAGAAGGUUCCCUGAGGUGUUAUCAGCUAUCCCCCACAAACUGCUUUACUGCUUUGGACUGCCCUUCUUACCUCCAGUAGGAUGUGAAUGAUGCAGAUUUUAGCACAGGGCUGGGGAGGGAGCUGUCUCAGACACUUGCAGCUCACUGUAGUCUGUCUUUCUUUUUUUCUUUCUAAUGCACACUAGAGUGCGUCUCUCAGGAGUGUAACAGUGGAGAUAAGCAUGGAAAAAAGCCCAUCUCCUCUCUGUAACUCCAUUAGUCACUCCUGGUGGAGAUGGUCUUGUUUAAAAUAUGAAACCCAAAUAUGCAGUGCUACAGCAAAAAUGACAGUGCUGUGCUGGAGUGUGUCCAGGGAAGGACAAUGAAGCUGAUGAAAGGUCUGGAGCACAAGUCCU